Long non-coding RNA from Malaclemys terrapin pileata, 110 nucleotides. RefSeq lists it as uncharacterized. The transcript has 5 exons. NCBI's taxonomy places the organism in Eukaryota, Metazoa, Chordata, Testudines, Emydidae. The record is from RefSeq and is a predicted model, not a curated record.
GCAGAUGAACCCCAGACAAAAGCAGACAAAGAGAGAGAGAGAAAGGAUAGUCCUGAGGAGGAAAAGGAAUCACUGAUGGACAAAAAGAGUGAAUUGCGGGCUCAGAUAGG